Protopterus annectens (West African lungfish) is the source of this 868-nucleotide long non-coding RNA. RefSeq lists it as uncharacterized. The transcript has 3 exons. NCBI's taxonomy places the organism in Eukaryota, Metazoa, Chordata, Ceratodontiformes, Protopteridae. The record is from RefSeq and is a predicted model, not a curated record.
CUGACUCUAGCAACUCUAACUUUUGAUGGGACACCAUCAGACCAGUGGACUUUGCGGAAGAGUGUGCAUAGAAACUGCACUGAGGUGAUGAAGAAAGAGCAAGAAAGAGGGCAUUGUGCAUUAAGCAAAUGCUCUGGCUGGAAGAGCAGUGCAGAGUGAAAGACCAUGGGACCCAUGAAUGCUCACUCAUCCGAUGCCAGAGACAAGCACAUGUCAGACCACUGCCUGAGUCCUCGGAUGACAAUGCUGAUGAACAUUAUGGAGGCAAUGCUAAUGAUGAGGAAGAACCUGGACCUAUAUAUGCUGUCAUCCCUGCUGCAAGCUGAAGGAAGUGCCACUCUCCAAAACCAGCAGAUGAUUUCUGGGACCAGAUCUGUGAGGUGAUGACUGAUGUCUUUCAAACACAGAUGGGGGACCUGAUGAAGAAUUUCUUUCAGGAUAUGGCACUGGCUAUGUGGGACUCAUUUAGAGAAAACAUCCUGGGAGAUCAUUUGUGAUGUUCAUCCCCCUCAAGUUGGGCCUUCCAGGCCAUAAAUAUUGUCUGUGUGAUCCGCUUGUUUACUGCUACCACCAUGGUGUUUGACAUAUAAGCAAUUGGACUUUAUAGGCACACUUGUGUAUGCAUAACAUAUUGCUACCAUGCUUAUAUGAUACACAGCCAACCGUACUCUGCAGAUGUUGUGUGACAUUUUGCAUUUGGUUGCACCUGCUGCAUGGCACAUAUUACUACAUUAGACAUGCAGUCAUCAUGCUGAUGUCCAUGUGUUUCUGCACUUGAUGCCUACUUUGCUCCAUGUUGGCAGGUGUGGUACCCCCUCACAUUUGUGUGUGUGUGUGUGUGUGUGUGUGUGUGUGUGUGUGUGUGUGU